Molecule: long non-coding RNA, 2729 nt
Organism: Quercus robur (English oak)
Lineage: Eukaryota; Viridiplantae; Streptophyta; Magnoliopsida; Fagales; Fagaceae
Exons: 3
Source: RefSeq, a predicted model, not a curated record
UAACAUCUUCUUGCCAAAGGGACAUGAAAUAGCCCUUGACGAUUAUGAGGCUCUUCCACAAGAGAAGAGGGUUGAAUGUCAGGAAGCUAUCAGCUUUGUGGACAAGAUAAAGGUGAAAAUAUUGUUUCGCUCUGUUGAAUUUCAACUGCAAAUGUUGGUUCCUUGCGGUUUAAUGAGGACCUUUGUUCCUACUGAUACGCUUUCAAAAUGAUGAACAUGUUUAUAAAGCAUUCUUAGACAUUUGGAAUAAGUACUGGAAUGAGCACAAGGACAUAAAUGAUGUCUACAAUGAGAUUUACUCUCUUUUCAAUGGUCAUGCGGAUUUGCUUGAUGAGUUCAGAAGAUUUCUUCUGGAAGCUGCAUAUCUUUCAGCAGAGGAUUUUGGUUUGUGAACUGUGAACUAGAUAAAGGGUCAAAUUUGGAGAUGCUCUGCUUUUAUAUUGCUGGACUAUCAAAACUGAUGCUGUUGUUGAGAAAUCAGGUGAAGUCAACAAACUUCCUACAGGCCCCAGUUCUGGGCAAUCACUCCUGCUUAAAUCCAAGGCUGCUUCACAUUCAGGCAUUCGACCAACCAAAAACAGAUUGCAGCACUUUAGCUCACUGAGCACAGCAAUUGUAUCUGCAGCAUUUCUGACCAAUUUCUCUUCAUAUUUGAUGGAGUCAUCCUUGGCCAUAUUCUGCUUGAAUUUAGCAAGGAACUCCUCAUCUGAUGACCUCAAUUCGGUGCUAGAAGAGGAGUCUAUAUUCACUCUGACAAUUUCUCCCAUGCUUUCAGGUUCCACUAUGAAACGAAUGACCAUUAGUCUUAUACCAGGGUGUUCAGCCAUGCGAACCCCAUAAGCAAGGGCUUCACGGUCAUCACAGCCCCCAAAGAAGGGGACUAUAAUGAAAUAAGAAACAUUACUCGCUGCUACUUGAGUGGUUCCACCAAGUCCACGAUCAACCAAAAUCCCUACUGAGCACUGUGCAUGUUCAAGAACCUUAAGAUUAACCAAGACAAAGUCAUUUCGGGUAGUCUCGAGUGAACCAUCCACUCUUUGGUGCUUAUGGAAUGGAAGAAUUAUAAUUGCAGCUCUAUUUGUCUCAGCAGUGUUACAGAUGUCUUCAUGCAUGUCUGACAUUGAUGAGAUUGCUUUCAUUGACCGGAUGGACACAUGACUUAAUUGCCUGUAAGCCUCAAACGCCACAACAACAUGGUUAGAAUCUGAUUGCUGGCUCUUAUUCCAGAAGGGCAACCCAUGUUUUCUUGCCUUAUGUACCAUUAUUAUAGCUGAGGACCUCUCAGAGAGUUCCAUGAGGUGCAGUGCAUCCACAGAAAGUCCUUCACGCUUCUCAGAUCCUCUUGAGGCCUCAAGGAGGUUAAUAAUUGAUGGAAUGUUUCUUGCACUGUGGUAGCAGGUCAAAAUCCUAAGUUGGGUAUUUGGAUUCUUCCUUUCAAUUGUUCUAUUCUUGUAAUCAGCCAUUCUUUUCCUUUUUUCUGGCUUAUAUAUUGCCAUGACAAUAGGUGUGGUGAUGAAGGUAGUGAACAGGGCCAUUAGAACCAUAAUGGCAAAAGUCUGGUCGUUCAAUACCUGCAAAUGGAAAAGGCAAAGCUGUUAGAACCAUAAGAUCUUGAUUCCCACCAUAAACUGAAUGAACACUGACAUUACCUUUCUAUCUUUACCAAUGUUGAGAACAAUGAGUUCAACCAAGCCUUUAGUGUUCAUUAGGAAUCCCAAUGUGAGAGCUUCACGGAGAGGUGCUUUGCAAAGAAGAGUCACCAAAAGAGUGCCAAAUAUCUUCCCAAAACAGGCAGUAAAUAUGACUAAAACCAGAAGACCCCAUGAUUGAAGCCCCUGAAUUGUGGCUAUAUUUGUCCUCAAUCCACUUGAAACAAAGUACAGUGGCAGGAAGAGACCAGAUACAAGAUCCUCAACUUUUUCCACAAGAGUGCCUGCAAAUGGCCCAUCCUUUGGUAUGAGAACUCCAAUCACGAAAGCACCGAACAUGGCAUGAAUUCCAAUAGCAUCAGUAACAAGCCCAGCAGCCAGAACAACGGCCAAUGUAGCACAAAUGUAAGUCUCUUUUACUGGCUCGCCUUCAUGGCAUCUCUGGGCUAUCCAUUUGAAGAUUGGGGGAACAAUCAAAAUUGCACAAACAAAAAAAACGCAGCCAGAUAAGAAGAUCCAAAGCGGGACAAGGGAAGAUUUGCCAGUGCCAGAGAGUGCAAUGGCAAGAGCAAGUAGAAUCCAAGCAGCCACAUCAUUGACUGCUGCAGCUGACAUAGCCAUUUUUCCAACAUCAGUGGUUAAAAGUUUCAGUUCAGCCAGAAUACGAGCUAAGACAGGGAAGGCAGUUAUGGAGAGGGCCACACCCAUGAAGACAAGAAACGCAUUUCCAUUUACACCUUUAGAUAUUGUUUCUUUUAGGACGUAUGAGGAACCAAUUCCUAAUGCAAAAGGAAGGCUGAUUCCUGCAAGAGCAAUGCCCAAUGCUUUCUUUCCAGUCCGACGAAGAGAUUUAGGAUCUAACUCAAGUCCUGCCAGAAAUAGAAAUAAUAGAAGACCAAUGUUUGCUAGAGUAUCUAAGACUGGGAGACUUUUUGGUGGGAAAAUUGCUUGCAUAUAGCUUUUGCUUCGUCCCAGAGCUGAUGGCCCAAGUAAUAUUCCUCCCUUUCAAAUAGCAACACAAGGUAAACUCACUAAAAUGUAAACAAAUUUAAGCAAUGGUAGCUAUUUCUGUCUGGCUGA